This 1223-nucleotide long non-coding RNA is filed under the name Apteryx rowi (Okarito brown kiwi). Its description in RNAcentral is "lncRNA (ENSARWG00000000504.1)". Lineage: Eukaryota; Metazoa; Chordata; Aves; Apterygiformes; Apterygidae. The record is from RNAcentral.
CGGGCUCGGGCUCGGGCUCGGGCUCGGGCUCGGGCUCGGGCUCGGCUGGUGGCUCCACACCGGCGCCGCACCUGCUCCGCCGGCGCCGCGGCAGGCCCGGGCCCGGGUCGUUCCGCCGCCGCUCCACCCCUGAGCGCCGGGCGCCCAAAGGCUGCCGGAGCGCUCGUGUCGCGGCAGUCCUCGUUGCCGGGGCUGGCGCGGCCCCUUCGGCGGGGGCUGAGCGGCUUUAUCUGCGCGCCUCGGAAGUGGCCACGGGCUCUGGCUGGCUGAAGAGACCACACUUACCAAGAAGAACAGACAUCCCUAUGUAAACAGAGGCUUUGGAGCAAAGAGUUCUGACUACGUUAGUCUUUGGAAUACCUGAAAAUACACUGGAGCAUACAGAAAUGAAGGAACAGACCCUCAAUGAGUCUUUUCAACACCUGAAGGAAGUCCAGUGGGAAGAAACUGGGAUCAGAAAGGCUGUCUUUAAAGGAGGCUGUGUUCUGUCAUCAGGAGAAGAGAGGGGAAUCCCCUUGUACUGUUUCAGCCUAUUGGAUGUGCUGCUGUGCAUCGUUCAGGUUUGUGAACCAAAUAAAGAGAAAAGAAAAGAAAAGAACACAGUGAAGAGAAAAAGAACAUGUAUAAAUCUAAGUGUUUCACGGCACAUAAAAUGCAAGGUUCUCUCUUUGUUACAGAGAUGGAACCAAUAGUAGCAAAUGCUGACAAAGAGAAAAGCUGGACAAGCAGUUUUUUGGUGAUUAAUACCGAAGGGAUGGGAUGAAACAAGAAGCAGAAAUGCAGUUUAGCAGCCCCUUGAUAUCACCAGAACCUGCUGCAGUAGGAGGUGUUCUGGCAUGGGUAACUAGGGUAACUCUUGAUAAUGACUGCUAGUUAUUUCGGCCUCCCGAAGGCAGCACUGAGGACUAAGUAACCCGUUCCCACCCCRUGGAUGUUGUUUGCUGUAUCURCCUUAGUUUUGCUUUGGUUGUUUCUGUUUUGUUUUGUUAUUGUACGUGCAUAUGUAGAAAGGGAAAGAUGUCAUAUUUAAUUUUUAGRUUGAUUGCCAUGGCUGAAGUUGAAGAGACCAGAAAAACGUAAGCAAGCUGAAGUAAUGAAAUCAAACGGAACCAACUGAGAGCUGUCUCCAUCGCCCAAAAAGGGAAAGCCCGUUCCUCCUGGUGAGGAAAGAUCACCAUUAAUAGUGAUUGGAAUAAUAGAUCACCAACAUAUAAGGUCUGAAG